This 72-nucleotide transfer RNA is filed under the name Rattus norvegicus (Norway rat). It matches the Rfam family "tRNA". From Rfam's summary of the family: Transfer RNA (tRNA) molecules are approximately 80 nucleotides in length. Their secondary structure includes four short double-helical elements and three loops (D, anti-codon, and T loops). Further hydrogen bonds mediate the characteristic L-shaped molecular structure. tRNAs have two regions of fundamental functional importance: the anti-codon, which is responsible for specific mRNA codon recognition, and the 3' end, to which the tRNAs corresponding amino acid is attached (by aminoacyl-tRNA synthetases). tRNAs cope with the degeneracy of the genetic code in two manners: having more than one tRNA (with a specific anti-codon) for a particular amino acid; and 'wobble' base-pairing, i.e. permitting non-standard base-pairing at the 3rd anti-codon position. Lineage: Eukaryota; Metazoa; Chordata; Mammalia; Rodentia; Muridae. The record is from Rfam by way of RNAcentral.
GGGGAUUUGGCUCAAUGGUAGAGCGCUUGCCUAGGAAGCGCAAGGUCCUGGGUUCGGUCCCCAGCCCCCCCA